CGGAGGAAAAGAAACUAACAAGGAUUCCCCUAGUAACGGCGAGUGAAGCGGGAAGAGCUCAAAUUUGAAAUCUGGUAGCCUUCGGUUGCCCGAGUUGUAAUCUAGAGAAGUGUUUUCCGUGCCGGCCCAUGUACAAGUCCCUUGGAACAGGGCGUCAUAGAGGGUGAGAAUCCCGUCCUUGACAUGGACCCCCGGUGCUUUGUGAUACACUUUCAACGAGUCGAGUUGUUUGGGAAUGCAGCUCAAAAUGGGUGGUGAAUUCCAUCUAAAGCUAAAUAUUGGCGAGAGACCGAUAGCGAACAAGUACCGUGAGGGAAAGAUGAAAAGCACUUUGGAAAGAGAGUUAAACAGUACGUGAAAUUGUUGAAAGGGAAACGAUUGAAGUCAGUCAUGCUCUUGGGACUUACCUCCCUUGAGUGGGGUCAACAUCAGUUUUGAUCGAUGGAUAAAGGCACGGGGAAGGUAGCACUCUCGGGUGAACUUAUAGCCUCGCGUCAUAUACAUUGAUUGGGACUGAGGAACGCAGCAUGC
This 531-nucleotide ribosomal RNA is filed under the name Naganishia albida. Its description in RNAcentral is "eukaryotic LSU rRNA". It matches the Rfam family "Eukaryotic large subunit ribosomal RNA", at positions 51 to 604 of the family's 3401-position model. The record is from RNAcentral. Lineage: Eukaryota; Fungi; Basidiomycota; Tremellomycetes; Filobasidiales; Filobasidiaceae.